GGGUUUAGGAUUGAAGUUGGGAAGAACGGUGCAAUUGGGUUGGGAAAGGGGAAGGUGGGUUUGGUGGUUGAGGUGUUUGAGAUUGUGUCUGACUUGCUCCUUGUCUCAGUUAAAGUUGUUGAUGGUGCCGUUGACUUUGACCUUCUUCAUUGGGAUGAUUGGAGACUUGGCCUUCAAGAUCUUGUUCUCUCAUGGCAUCACAGUGAAUGAAUAGAGUAACUCUUUCAUUUCAUCUUUUUCUUACUUUGUGCAUAUCAUUACCAGCUUUUGUUGUUAAGUUAUUACUCUUAAUAAACUCAUCAUUUUCUUAUCAACCACACACUUCACACCCCUAUGCUUUCACAUCCUUAUGCUUUCUUUGACUUUCCUACUGAAUUUGAGGGGUUAGUGUGUUUGUAUUAGGUUAAAUAGAAUGAAAACCUGUAGAGAAAAUUUAUGAAUAAUAUGAUGAAUUUGAUUAAAAUUGUAUUUUUUAAUUGAUAAAAAUAUAAAUUACAAAUUUGUCUUUAGAUAUAAAAAAAAAGUGUAAAAUGAAUACAAUUUAUUUUGCUGUACAUUUUAUUUGUUUGUAAUUAUAAAAUGUUUUUUUUUUCAAAAAAGUGGACCGAUAGUUAAGGUUAGGGUUUAAGGUAGAAAUAAUAUUAUGAUAACGGAGUUAGGGUUAGGAAUCAUAAUAUAACAUUUAAAAUCUGAAUCGAUUAGCCAUUAAAACCAAACAUAUAGUUGAUUAUGUGAAACAUAUAAUUAAUUAUCCAUGACUUUUAUACAUAAUCGAUCGAUUAAGGGAAACCUCUAAAAUAAAACAUAACAUAACAUGUAAUUAUAAUAAGCACCUCUCUACCGUAUGGGGAUUGUUCUCACCCAUUUCAUUUUUAACUAUCUUUCUUGUUCUUUUCAUAAUCUUCAUUUUAAAAUUAUUAAAACACUAUUAAGAUUGAUCUCAGUGAUAUAUUUUGUCUUUAAUUGUCUCAUUUGAAGAAUAUUUUUUUAUUCUAUACAAAUUUUUACCUAGACUACACCUUUCCUUUAUGGAAUUUGGUUCAAAAAACAAACAAACAAAUUUAUAUAAUUAUGAUUUUUUAAUAUUUAAUAUUAAAAGAAAUUCCUUGACAUUCAAAUCAUGGACAAUAUAAUACUUUCUUUGAUGUGAUUUUUUUAUCAACAAAAGUUAAUUUAUAUUUAAAAUAAAUUUAUAUAGAUUUUUACAAUAAUUCAUCUUUAUUAAUGUCUUGAAAAAAAUUUGUUACAAUUUAUUUUUUAUUUCACCUUUAUUUUAAAACAUUAAAAAUAAGGGUUUUUUUUCUAUUAAAUUUUUUUUAUCUGAAAAAAAGAAAAAGUGAAACAAACUAGUUUCUUCUGGCUACUUUCAUACUUAUUAAAACAUUAAAAAUAUCUUUUAUUUCAUUGAUUUUAUUUAUUUAUUUUGGAAUUUGUGAUUUUAAAAAAUUAUAGAUUAAAAGAUUUUCUUAAUUCAUAAAUUUCUAUCGAAUUCUUUAAUCGAAAAUGUAUUAUAUAGUCUGAAAAGUAUGAGAAUGUUUUUCUUAAAAUUAUUAUACUUUUCAAAUUAUUGUAAAAUCUGAUGAAAAUACUUUUCAAAUUUUAUAAUCCAAUUUGUAAAUUGAAAAAAAUGUUCUAGAUUAUAAAGCCUAAAAAAAUAUUUUCAAUUUUCAUUCUAUAAUCUAAAAUGUAUUUUUUUAGAAUAAAAUUAUCUUUUCAUCCGAAAAAAAUGGUGAAAUUAACUAGAAAUUGCAUGAAGAAACAGCUCAAAUGAUUUAAGACUAGAGUUAACUACUUUCAUAUAUGAAAAACAUAUAUGAAAAAUCAAAUAUAUAUGAAAAAUAAAAUAUACAAAGCCUAACAUAUCACCUUCUAUCUCUAAUAAUCAAUUAGCCAAUGGAUUUUCAUGAAGUUAACACUGAUUUCUCCGUGUGAUCCGAAGACCCUAUCCCAUCUCAUUGGUAACCCUUCUUCCAAUUGCAUGUAUUGUCACAUCAUCUUUUCAACAGAGAAUACCUGGUAAUUAAUGUUGUAACAAGUAGUCAGAAAAAUAAUGUAAAAGAUGUUUAUGAAUUAAAAUUAAGCUCAAUAAACCAAACUACACAAAAAUUUUAAGUGUUCAUUGGUACAGUCACCGACAAACUUGAUAUGACUCGUACUAUUUCAAUUAUUUUGGAUUCAGUUUUUUAUUUUAAUGUUUGAGUUGAAUCCAUUUCAACCCAUUCAAUCCCGUUUAUAUGUGGGUUGAGCCAUGAACCCAACCUCUUGAUAUGACAUUAUUAUUACUAUUUAUAAAAACAAAGCCAUUCAAAAAACGGAACAUUUUUGUUCACUUACACUCAGUCAUUCAAAAUCAGAUUUCUUCGUAUAAACAUUCACACUUGUCCAGUCCCCCAGAGAGUUACGAGCACUCUUAUCGGUCUUUAGUUUUUGUCUGUAUCAACAGAUUUUACUUUGUCUUACAUUGAAUUCAGAUAAAAAAAUUUAUGUUUGAAAUUAUCUAGGCUUCGACUUGAUUGGGUGGACCAAGAAGGAGGGUGUUUAUUACAUCUUUUGAUUCAUUGGAAAAUUUUAGUUUGUUUCUAUCCUAAAGUUGGAUAAUCAUGGUAGAACUCUCUAUUAGUAAACAUACGACAUGAUAUCUAAUUUAUCUUAGCAUCCUAAAUUCCUAGUUAAUAAUUAUUUAUUUUUCAUAAAAUUGUAAAAUAAAUUCAAAUGUUUCGACUUAUUGAUCUAAUCCAACCCAAUCCGUUUUUGAUUGGUUGGUUAGGAGGAUAAACUGCAGAAACUCAAUCCAACCUGACCACACAAUUUUGAUUGGGUUUGAUAAUGUGUUUGGCCAAACCCAAACCAUAAACACAUUUUUAUUUGACAAUGAAUUUAGUAAUGCUACCUUGAAGUUUAAAAUCCAGAUUAAGAGGAUCAAAAUCAGUUCUUGACAGCUUCUUGGAUACGGGGGUACCGAUGAGCCCAUCGAGAGAAGCCUGCACAAUGAGAGUUAGAAAAUGCAACUACCUCAAAAAGCCUUUAGUGCUCUAACAACUAGCAUUGCAGUAAACAUAAUCACCAGAAGAGACAAUCUCCAAAAGAUCCAUAUCCUCUUUAGUAUCCUGCAACAGAUUAUAACAGGUAAUCAGGUGUUAAAAUCAUUGAACAUAAACAUAAAUAGGGCAUAAAUAAUUUUUUUUGCUAAUUCUUACAAAGUUGUUCAAGUACUACAGUGUUUUCUGAAUAAACAAUGCAACUUAGAGAAAUUUACAAUUAGUAAUGAAAGGGAAUUCACAAUGCACCUGCUCUGAUGAAGUCAGACAUCUAGCAAUGAGCACAUAAAGACUGCGAAGAGUGCUAUAGUUGAAAUCAGGUCGAUUCAAGAGAGCCUCUUCUGAUGUAUAUUCAAAUACCAGUGCACAAAUGCUUGAAGCCAUCAUCAUACUUGACAUUUCAUCAGUGUUAUCUACAAACCAUGUUUCAGCAACUAAGUUAAGAUAAGAUGCAUGCUUUACUUCAUACUGUCAAUUCAAUGAAUAAAGUAAUAAACAAAUAAUGGUACUUGUCAGAAAUCACUUGCUUUAAUAGAUACAUACAUGCUACUAAAUUUGCAUUAGAGCAUAUGUCACAUUUUAAGGAUUCAUGAGAAAACACUCAUUUAAUGGUUGCUGACAAGUAUGGUACCUGUCCAAUAAGCUAAUGCUUUAAGAAGACGAACACUAGCUGACUCAUCCAACAUCGUAUGCACUUUGUCUUUCUACAAUAAAAAAGGUGGGGUACUUGUUUAGAAUUUUUGCACAAUCAAUAUAUUAUUAUAAGGCUGGUCAUUAUGAUAAGAAAAUCACCUUCAAUAGUAGGUUCAGUAUUGUAUCACACGCCAAAAAGAUGCAACCAUUAUCCUCAAGAAAAGCAUUUGACCCAACUAAUUUAUUGAAGCAAUCUAAAACCUACAAAUAGACACAAUAUAUUUAGCAACCAGACAAUAAGAAAUUGGUUUGUUACUACUGUUAUCGAAUGAUGUAAAUAUGUAUCUUGUACACACGUGAGUACUCUUAUUUGUAACAAAGUAAUAAGGAACACAAUCAAUAACUAAUAAUGAGCAAUAUUUUCUAAGAUAUUUCUUUAUUUGAUGUAAUCAAAAUAUAUCAUAUUUCCCUAUUUAAUAUAAUUAAAUCAUAUCUAUAACACUUUCCCUCAAGCUAGUGCACAUGUAUCAUGAGUCAAGUUUGUUACAAAUGUCAUCAACACAAGAGUUCUUGAUAGACUAAGUAAAACAUGUCAGUCAAUCAGUUGCUAGAGAGAUAACAAAUCAGAGUGACAAACAUAAUUAAAUAUAAUAGAAAAGGUGACGCAGUGGAAUAGUGACAAAGCACAUAACCAGGGAUCAUACCACUCUGAUAUCAUAUUAAAAGGAUUAUUUGUAACUCUGCAUCUUAUUCGCAUGUGAGUAAGUACUCUUAUUUAUAAGAAAGAAGAAUUACAAUAAUAAGGAACAAAAUCAAUAACUAAUAUUGAAAAAUAUUUUCUAAGAAAUUCCCCUGUGAUGUAAUCAAACCAUACCAUAUUUCCCUGUUUAAUGUAAUUAAACCAUAUCUUUAACAGCAAUAAAUCUGAAAGCCAUGUGUGAGAAUAUGAAGAUGAACUAUAAAUCAAUCAAGCAAUCGUUAGAAUCUUGAUUUACUCAUAAGGAUUCACCUUUAAGUGAAUGCAAUAAUAAACCAAUAUCAAAAAAGAGGAAGGAGAAACAUAAAUUUUAAAUUUAAAAAUACAAGUACUGGAACCAAAAAAUAACUUACAGCCUCAAUUCCUUUGCAUGAAGCCAAAGCUUUGCAUCCCUCGAUCUUCAUAGUAAUUUGAGACAGCAAAGGUAGAAGAAAGCAAACAGAGUAGAAGGGCCUGGAACAUAGAAUUAAAUUAUGCAAAUGCUCCACUAUAAAGGAAUUUUUUUUGCCCAUAAUUAUCUUGAAUAUACCUUUGUUCAUCUUCACCUUCAAUGUAAAGCAUAUACCCUAAAAGAUCUUGAACCUUCUCCUUGCAUGCUAAGGGUGCUUCUGCAAGAUAGCUGAAACAAAAACUAUCCAAAUUAGCACAAGAUUAAGGAACAGGAUGAAAAUUGAUGAAACAACUAUCUAAAUUAGCUUAAGAUGAUCUAUACCAUUAGAAAAUAAAUUAAAUUUGCAUGUUUCUUUCCUAAUACUACACUGCAAGUGUAUGACAGUGAAAGCAUGAAUAAUAUACAGGUUAAGAAGGUCUAUCAUUGUUAAAAAAUUUAUAUGACAACAAAUGCCACACUAAUAUAUGAAAGAUGUCUUCCAGAUAUGAUUUGAAGUAAAUUAUUGUUAAUCUAUCAAGUGUCAAAGUAAAAAUAAUUCAAAAGAAAGCAACAUUAAAACGUCAUACCUCCCAAUAAUUCGCACCGAAGCAAGUAAAUCAUCCCCUUUCUUUUGCCCAUGUUCCUGUAUGAUUUCAUCAUUGUAAUUUGCCAUGUGUUUGUAAACAGGUAAAGAGAAUAGAAGAAAAUCAUACUAUAAUGGGAUGAACUGUAUAUAUUUAAGACUGUAGUACAAAGUAUAUUAAAGAGAAAAACAACUUGUAUAAUGAAAUAGAAUUAAAGAUAAUAAGUCACUGUUUACACAAGUAUUUAUACUACAGCAGACUCGAGAGGAGCUAGUUAUAACUAUUUAACCAAGGCUGUUACAACAGACUAAAAAGGAGAGUUAGUUGUAAGUGUCUAACCAAGGCAGUUACAGCCAACUAAAGAUAUUCUACUAUAGUUACUACUAGGGAAUUAUUUAGUAUAAAGGAGUUAUACACUAACAAAGUACAUGAAUAGGCCACAAUUGACACCAACAAUGACUCUUAACAACGCUAAUAAUUAACAUUACAUUAAGCAAUUAAUCAUUAGUGUUACCUUUGCAUCUUCCAAAUACUCUAGGACAACAGCAAUUGUCUCGUUAAGCUGGAGAAUCACCUUUGUUAAUGUUCCUUCAUCAAGGAGGUUUCCUGUAAAAGAAAUAGUACGAUGAAGAAGCAUUAUACACAAUUAACAGGAACUUAACCACAGAGACAUGUUUCCAACAGUGUCAACACUGGUUUCAAGAAGAGUAUCACAUUACCAAGUAAUCAAAAUCACAAUAGAAAUAAAAUCUGAAUUUCCAAAUCGUAUCCAUAUAGUUUACAAUUGACAAUAGUAGUUAUGGGAGUACAUACAACUAAACCACCAUAAUUAAAAAAACAGAAUUUAAAGGCUGAGUGAAUUGAGUUUCUUUGAAUAUACCACCAUUUUCCUCAACAUUUGAUAUUAAUUUUAUUAUCUUCUCAACCAAAGAGUAAGCAACAGCCACAUUAUGUCGCUUCGAAAAAAUUGCUUCAGAAGUAGCUGAAGUAUCCUGAGGGGCUUCAUAUUUUAAAUAUGCCAACUCAUUCAGAAGAACAGCAAUUUCAACCCUUGACUGCUCCAAGACAAGUAACAGGCACCUAAAAUGGGAAGGGGUGAGAAAAUGAAGCAAGACGCACACAAUGCAGAUGUAUUAAAAAAUUAACAUUAGCAAACACAGCUUACAUGUCAGCUGAAGCUGGAUCUCGUGCAUCAUUUGUGUUUACUUGGCUAACCAACCAAUCUUCUCCAUGCAUGGAAACCAUAGACUCAGCUAAAAUGAGAGCCUGCAACCUUUCAGCAGGAGCUGUACAUGAAUAAUAAAUCAAGCAUUUCAUACAGCUUAGUGUUUUAUUGUCUUAAAAAAACCAUAAUACAGUACAGUAAGGUAAGGACAUCUGAUAGUUCUAUAAAACUUCAGAUUAUCCAUGUGAAAGUGCAAAGAAGAAGUGAAGAAGUGUCCUUUCAUCCACAACCUUUCCUUCAAAUAAACCACCUUAUUAAAACUAACUCUCCAGACUAGGGAACAGGAGUUAGUCCAUAAAGUGUGCAGUUUCUUGCCAUAACAAAGCCUGCUGCUGACUUAAAACCUUUCAAUAUGCAAGAUCAAACAAUGCUGUAACUUGCUGAUGUGGCAAUAAAAAUCAUUAAAAUAAGAAACUGGGGAACCACCCAAUGCAUAUAUGUCCUAGUUGAGUUUUGCAAUAGACAGAUUACUAUCAAUAUAUUUUUUCUCUCUCAGUCUCUCAUAGCUGUUACUCUUAUCCUUGAACACUGGGAAUUAAAAUUUUAAUUCCCCAUUCCAUUGGGUUUUUACUUUCAGAGUUCAUUCCCCCUGGUUACGUUCCAUCUCAUAAUUUUAUCAGCUGAUGGGAAAUUGCUAAAAUUAUAACUUUAAAAAACCUAAUGAAGGAACACAGAAAGAGAAACUGAAAUAACAGGUAAAAUAGCACUGCACAUUAAUAAUUAAGAAAAUUGUCUCAACAUACCAACACGGUUCUGCAGAACAGCCAUUAUACCAGUGCGGAUAUUGUGCGACCAGCUUUCUUGAGGAAGUAACUGUAAGGCCUCACGAAGUUGUGACUGAAAAUGUGAAGUACUUGUAGUCAAUUAAUUGCAAGGUAAAUGAAUAAAGUUGCACAUACAUAAAUCAUUCAAUUAAUAAAAUUGUGGUUAUCCACAAGGCAGGUUGGACAUAUUGGUCUCCUAAGGAGUAUAAAUAAACCAUCAAUCAAAAUAGACCCUUUAUAUGAAAACAUUCUAUAUUAUGAACCAAAUAUUUUAACAAGCAAAUCAACUUGAUUUACACUGCAGAGGGAUGACUAGAAUAUGUAGAACACCAUCUAAUUUCUUAUCUAGGGGUAAUUUGAUAAAAUAUCAAGAAAUAUACAACAACUCUAAAUAUACUAAAUUCCAGUGCCAUAUCAAUUUAAGUAGAUUUUAUCUUCAAGUAUACUAGAAUAUCACUACAUAAAACCAUGACUGAAGGAAAACAGAGUAAGACAAGUUCGCAUACUGAAUCUUUUGAGGUAAGAAUGACAUUUAGCAAGUGGAGAGCUUCGAAUUUCAAGGAAUUGUGCAAAACAGCAAACUGCCUUGCUAUUGCUGCCACCUGUAGAGAGAAGUGUCAAAAACAUUGCUUGACCAAGCACAUUAUAGAUAUUUAUUUAGCAUGUUGCAAGAUAGCUAAUCAAAAGAAAAACAAUUUAAGUAAAAAAUAGAAAUAUUUAAGAAGCACACUUACAAUAACUGGAAAGUCAGAUAAGUCAUUACUCUGGAUUAUGUCCAAGGACAUCCUACCCAGAAUCAAUUGCAGAAGUUUAAAAGAUACUUCCAUCAGAUAUGAACCUGCACAGUGUUUGAGAAUAACGAUGCGUAAACAACAAUUAGGAGCAGACGUUUAUAAUUCCAAUGUUAGUAGAUGUGUAAAUGUGCGCACUAAUAGUGUAGUUACUAUAAAUAAGAAUUACUAAAUGAUAAAAAAUGAAAUCUCUAGAGAGAAAUAUUCCCAGGGACACCAAAGAUAUAACAGUAAACCUUUUUUGGUGAUGGCCAGGGAUCAAGCCGUGAAAGUUGAUACACAAAAAAUGAUAAAGAAUAUUCAUGUUGAGGAUAUCCAGCACUCUGAACCUAUAUCUUGUUGAUAUCAGUUCCAAAGCUCAAACACAGAUAGUUAUACAUAAAUAGUACAUCCUUGUUUACCAAUAGUUACCAUUCCUAACUUUUGUACAUAACGUGUCAGUGAAUUACCCUAAUAUAAAAAAUUAAAAUACACCAACUGAUAGUUUCACUCAGUCCCUUAUUUUCCAGUGUGGUGAAAGCGAGCAUUACCAGCAGACAAUGAAAUCUUACCGUCUUGCAGAACAGUCAUUUGAGAAGCUAGUACCUUGAUGCCUCCAGAUUCACAAAAUCUCGUCAUUUGAGAAGCUAGUACCUUGAUGCCUCCAGAUUCACAAAAUCUCGUGAUUCCAUUUUCAGAAGCAGCAGACACCAAGUACAAAAACUCGUAGCAUUCUUGAAGAAGAGACGAACCAGACCUAAACAAGAGAUUAAAAAAUAAACAAAAAAGGACUCUGAAGAAAAAAUAAGGUGUAUGAAAGCAGGUGCAGAUCAUUACAGGGUGGGUAUUACUUCCAACACAAGUGGAAUAUUAAAAAGCAUGUCGUCCGAAGAAGCUAUAUCUGGAACGCGACAAAAUGCAGCAAGAACAGUGAUGGAUAGGCUUAAAUACGCAUCGCGAUUCUCAUUGAGGGAACUUCCGAGACCUAAUUAAAAAAAAAGAUAGUGUGAAAAAACAUUAGAAAUGAAGAGAGAAGGAGUAGGAAGAAGGAAGUACCAGUUCUGAGAAGGCGAUAGAGAAAGCGAGGGCCAACCGCAUCAUAGACCCUCCGAAGAGAGGAGUGAUCCUGAGCUUUGCAGAAGUUGGUUACGAGAAGAAGUCCUGCAAGACGCUGUUCGUCUCGCUCUCCUUUCAGCAGUUUCAAGCAGUCCUCCAGAUUGGGAUUCUGCUGAGCUUCAGUGGAAUCCUUCUCGCUCAUCUUCUCCUCCGACAUUGGUUCAGCAAUUGUAAUUAGGGAUUCGAACGAUUUUCUCCUAAAUUAAACUGCAAUUACUGUUAUCACAAAUAAUCAGGAAUUGAACUCCACCUACCCUAAACCCAACGAAGAACACGUAGUGGAGAUGGAUGAAGAAGAAACCAGAAAGCACCAGAGAAACCAAAUUGUAAUUAAGUACAAAAGAUAUUAAUCAAUAACUAUUUUAAUUAAUUACGUUAAUAAAUACUUUAUAUUUUAAAAUAGUAAUUAUGCUUUCACAAUUAAAAUGUAUAUGUAAUAAUAAUAAAAUACGAAGAGUAAAAAGAAAAAGAAAAUUUGGCAUUAAUAGAAUGAAGUGAAGGAAAUUUUUUGGCCAUAUAAAAAUUUAGAACAUUGAGCAUAGAAAUAGAAAUUAUUUACUACACAAAAAAUGCAAAUAUUCUAUAUAAAUGGAAAGCAGUUAUAAAUACUAAAAAUAUGAGUAACAAUUAUCCUAAUAUGAGUGACACUCUUGGCUUCUUCCUUGAAAUGAAAAAUUGAAAUAAAAAUGGAUAAUAAAGUUCAAAGUUUUCAAAAGAUAAUUUCCAAUAAAGAAUGAAGAACAUAAGGUAUAUAAAUUCAGAAAAAAUGGAGAGAAAAAAAUGUCCAGUGGAACAUAUUGGACCAACCUUUUGGUUCCUUCAUCGAUAAUUGUAUGUGUAGUGCAUCAUUGAGUCUCCAAAUUAUUUUUUUACUUUAUUUAUUUUAGCUAGAAAUAUGCACAAUACUGAACUGUUAAGUAACAAUAAAUAAAAUAUUUUUUUAAAACUAAAAAAUUCUAAACAUAUCAAACAAAUAAAGAUCUAAAUCUAAAAAAAUUAUAAUUUAAAAAAUGAAUCAAUAGCAAAACCACUUCAUUGUUAUACAUUGUAAUUUCUCUAAGGCUACUCUUUAGACAAGCAUGAUGAUUUUUCUCAUUUAAUUUUUUUCUUUAAAAAGGAUGUAGCACGCAGAAAAAUUCUGUCAACUUCAUCCAGCUUAGGUAAGUGUUGGUCUUUUCCCAUGUAUUUUGAGUUCAGAGAUCGUAGAUGCUCUUCAAAAUCAUUAGUUUCUCCAUCACUUUGCUCUCGAAACUUAUCAAACUCGUCCAAAUAAAGAGGUUUUUCCUCUCUGGUGAAUUUCUCUACAUCCGAAUCUGUCUCAAAUAUAUCUGAUAACUUAUCAGAAUCAGUAUCAAAUUCAGAGUCCAUAUCUGUCUCAUCUUCUGUGCACCCAAUUUUAUCAUUCAUCAACUCUUCAAGUUUAUCUGAAUUCUCUGACUGAAAAUUUAAAAUUCUCUCCCUGUCAAUUUUCUGUAUUGCGUCAGAAGCAUCUAUAUUACUCUCAGCUGUACUUUUAAAUUGCGCUUGAAGAAUUUCGAGCUCUUGUUCUAGUCUUGGAAUAUGUCUCCUCACAGCACGGAGAGCAUCCCUGUAUUUGGAUUUAUCUAAUGCCUGCAGAAGAUGAAAAUUAACACCAUCAAGCUACUGAACAAUUUUUAAAAUAAAAGGAAACAUAAAAUUCUCUAAAACAAAUAGUAGCAUGAACAUGAGUGAUUGUAUGUACACAUCCAAGGUCCGCAAAUGCAAAAUUUCAAACAUAACAGUGGUUGUGCAACUGAAGCGCUGUGCAAUAGAAAUUUCACCAUAAAAUUAUGGACAAUGAAUGAAGACCAAGAACUGUUGGAGAAUUUUGAAACCCCACCCAGUUAAACUCAAUUUCUAUUCUGUAUUAAAAGUGACUAAAAAUUGAAAACACAACACAGUACCUUCUUUCUAGAAAGAGAGACUCGUGGAGACAUAAUCUCUGUUGGUGGUUGAGUGUAGUUUUUCCCUCUGUACAUUAUUAUUGUGUUAUCUUCAUGAAUGUCAAGCACUAUACCUCCUGUCAAUCUUGCCAGCUCAACAGCAAUCUCCUUAACCUCCUCUGCUGAAAAUGUCUUCACCACUACUUUCAAAGUCUGAUGUUUUUUCCAAUGCAGAUGCAUGUUCAAAAUUACACCUUGGUAAAUUCCUCGCCUUCCAACUGGUACAUAAUUUUUGCAUUUAAGGCCCAUCUUUAAGAAGAAAAAAUGCUCUUCUGGUGUCAAUAUCUCAGGAUCAUGGGUUGUUUCUGAGGAUUCAGCAGGCUCAAUCUUUUUUAGGGCUUCACAAAGUCUCUCUUCUUUCUUUCGAGCCUAGAAUGAUGGAGAAAGUUCAAUAACUGAGACAACAAAAUCAAUUGAGUUCUUCCAUUACAGAAUAAAUAGUUUGUACAUAGAAACACUGUGAUCAACCUUCAAUAGAGGACAAAAAAAUGUCUUGCUCUGAUAAACACAUGAUGCUGUACCAAGACAAGAGAGUAAGCAAAGAGAGUAACAUUAUUGUUACCAAGGGCCAUUAACAAAGAGUAAGCAAUGUGACACUAAAGCUAAUAAGGGAAAGAUGAAUGCAAAUCUCCUAUUCAAGGAAUUAAAUGUCUAUUAGUGCCUAGGUUAGGAAGAAUGAGAGUCCAAGUACUAUUUUUAUUGAGUAGGGUAUUAGAAAUUAGUUUUGUUCAUAAUAGAACAAAUUUUUAUCUUUAGUAAAGAAAGGGGUGGUUAGCUAGAGUCAGUUGAAAACUGAGAAAUUGGGAGGAAGAAUACAGGUUCCACAAAUAUCAUAGUAAAGGAGAUAAAUUUAUGUAUAUCUUCUUUAUCUUUUAGAAAUAAAGAUUACAUUUUUACCAGAUUUUUGGUUCAGUACCUAACAAUGCCACUCUAAAAAAUGCAGAUAUCUUCAAACACCAUUUACCAAACACAUUUUUACAAAUUCUAUGCAAAUUGUAAAUGGAAAAAAAAAUACUUUGAAGAAUUAGAUGGCAAGUUGUUAGGUUAUUAUCAAAAUGAAUGCACUAAAAUAAUUCUGUAAAUCAUCUUCAAUGAUUGAAAGAUUUAAUUCAUGUUUAUGUUUAUCUUACUGCAAUUGGGUAUUUAAGAUUCCAAUAUUCAAUUCAGAGAACCAUAAAUUUAUUUUUAUCUUUAUUGACACCAACAAAUAUUACAGUUGAUUUGUUAAGCAACUGUUUUAGCAUACAUUAACACUACCAGCAGCAAUAGAUUUAUUUUUAUCAAGAGCAUCACUAUUUUAUGAAAGUGGGACAAUCCUAGUGUUUCAUGCUAAAAUGUAAACACAAGCCAUGAGUAGUAAGAAAAAUAUUAAUAAGAAAUACAAACAUAUAUAUGGAUAUAGUAAGCACAAGGAGGCAAAGGUGCAAAAACAAAUCAGCAGAACCAUACAUUACAUACUAUUUGAAAACAAUAAAAAAAGGUGGAUAUAAAAGUAAAAAAAUAAAAAAUAAAACUUACCUUCAACAAUUUGUAUAAAAUUUUUUCCUCUGUUGUCAUCCUUUCAUACUCUUUCUUCUUCUUAAAUCUAAAGAACUUCAUCCAUCUUACAACUGCUCUUUUCCCCUUUAAUUUUUUCCUAUUUACUUUGGCAUUGCCAUCAUCCUCAUUACCACUUGGGGCCUUCUCAGAAUCCUGAUACUGUUUCUCUACAACCAUAUCGUUAUACUUCAGAAAUGGACAUGAAUGAAAGCCUAUGUUUCCAAGGAUUGAACAUGCUUUCAUAUAAUAGAGCUGAUAAAAAAUAGGUUCCUGACCAUCAACCUUCCUCGGCAGAUACCUUGGCCGCGGCAACUUCGCCAAAGUGUACCAGCCGCGCUCCCUCGUAGACGCCAUCGACAAUUCCAAGACGGUCGACGCCGCCAUGGAGCCCCGCAUCGUGCGCGAGAUCGACGCCAUGCGCCGCCUCCAGAACCACCCAAACAUCCUCAAAAUCCACGAGGUUCUCGCUACAAAGACCAAAAUCUACCUCGUCGUCGACUGCGCCGGCGCGGCGAGCUCUUCUCCAAGCUCUCCCUGGCGCGGCGCUACUUCUCCCGGGUAGUCUCUGUGCUCCUCUUCUGCCACCGACACGGCAUCGCGCACCGUGACCUCAAGCCGCAGAACCUCCUCCUAGACGCCGCCGGCGACCUUAAGGUUUCCGACUUCGGCCUCUCCGCGAUCCCGGAGCACCUCCGCGAUGACCUCCUCCACACCGCCUGCGGCACGCCGGCCUUCACUGCGCCGGAGAUCCUACGCCGCGUCGGCUACGACGGCUGCAAGGGCGACGCUUGAUUCUGAAGCUCCGAAAUGAGUUUUUUUCCUUCACUGAAUCUUCCAUCAAUAUUUAUAUUAUAGUAUAUUUAUUUUAUGUUUUUAAUUGUUAUAAAAACAAUUCUUAGGUUCUCAGUUUUAAUUAAAAAAAAAUUGGUGAGUUGCUAAUAAUAUUUUUAAUUUUACAAAACUAUAAUCUUUAAGUCGAUUAAUAAAGAUACUAUUAUUUGCUAUAUAAAUGUUUAAUUUAUAAAUGUUUAUUAUUUGCUAUAUUAUUAUAUAUUUAUAUCUUUUAAAUAAUAAAAUAUACUUUUUUUAAUGUUUUAAGUUAGUUUUUUUAUUUAAUUUAAAAAAUUGGACUGAAAAAUAAUAACUAGUGAAAUUAGUUAUGAUAAGGAGUUAAUAUACAGGUAUGAAUCAAAAUACGAAUAUAUCUUUUAAACACGCUCAUAUUUAAAAACUAACUUCUUAAAAAAUAUAUAUUAAUAAAGUAUGUGACAAAAUUGUGAUAUGAUUAUUAAAACCCUUAAAGCAUAAAAUUUAAACAAUAAAAAUUAAUUAAAUAAUUAUAACUUUUUUAAGAAAAUCAAUUAUGAAUAAAAUUGAUAAAUAUUUGAUAUUAGCAACCUAAUAUUUAAAAUUGAAUAUGGACUUUUGCAAUAAGCCCACUCAUUGUGUGCCUAAACCUUAAACCUAGCCUCUUCCCCUUUUUUAAUAUGAGGUACUCAUCACUGUUUCUGAAUUCUGCAUUCAAUUCAACGUUUGUUUUCUGAAUUAUAUAAUUUAAAAUUUAAAAUUAUAUAAUUAAAAAUACAUUUUCAUAUUGUGUAAAAAUAUAUUUCAAAUUAUAGAGUAUAUUUCUAGAUUAAGCAUACGGAUACAUAUUCUAGAUCGACCAAAACAUAUUUUUUAAAUUAUAAAUUAUAUAAUCAGAAUAGAUUUUAAAUUAAACCAUCCAAAAUGCUUCUCACAUAUACAGUUUGAACUUUUUUCAUACCUAUGAAGGGCUGAAAGAAAAUGUAAGGUGCUAAAAAAACAUUAGCAGACAUAAAACAGUCCUCCUUGAUUCAUACAAAAUCUGAAACAAAAUUAUCCGUAAAUAAAUAAUCGAUGGGAAAUUCUAUUAAAUUAAAGUAUUCUGUGUGCUUUUCAUAACAUUACCUUGAGUGAAUUAUUCUUUUUAUUAAAAAGAGGUAGAAAUACAGUGUCUUGUACAUUCUCUGAAAAUGCAGCUCAUUUGCAAUACUUGUUGAACCAGAUCGCAAUGUUAAGGUAGCUUUCAAAGUCGGAUUGUGGUCUGGACAAAAGUUGAACCAAACAAUAUUAUCAAUUGCAAUUAUUUACACGGAUCAAACGUAGAUUUAAACUAAACUAAAUUUAGUAAUUUGUAAGAACUCUCUUAUGAACUUCUCCAAAAUUAGAUAGUUACCGACGAAAGAGAGAUGUAAGUUUAUGUUAAGAUUUGUUUACCUUUCAAUUCCAUGAACAUCAUUUGGAAACACGAUGACUUUUGUUGGUACUCCUUUCUCCCUUAAAGCCCGAGCAUACUACAAAUUUAAACAAUAUGGUUUUAUUUAUCUGUCAUAUUGGUUAUGGUUUAUAAGGCUAAGAGUUUGCAGCUAUAUAAUAAUACUUACUUGUAGUCCAGUUGAAAUUGGAACACGGAGAUCUUGGGCACCCAGUAGAAAAAGCGUUGGUGUUUUUGCCUGAACAUAUCAUCAAUGCAAGAUUUUAACAGCAAGCAGCGACAAAUAUUAUAAAUAGGCUUCAAUUUUAGUUGUGUGGUGGAGCAUUAACAUUGAGACCAGUUCACUGGAUAGUACAAUACAACUUCAUCAUGCAAUUCAAAGGAAUAAGAGGGAAAAAAAUUAAAUAAAAUCAAAAUUCUAGGCAACAAAAGUUUCAUUAAUCAUGAAAAAUUAAAAUAGUUAAUGCAUUUGUUCAAAAAUUAAGCCUCAACUAUUCCUUGAUCCUAAAACUGCAGGCUUGUUAUUGAUACAAAUGCUCAUGCAAUUGUUGUUUUCUAAUCCUUUAUUUGAAGCAUGCUUAAAAUAUUGAGUAAUAAUAUAACAACAAUUUAAUAUUUCAAAACCAUAUGUAGGUGUACAGACCUUUGAGAGGUGUGAAAUAGGAGAUUUGCUAUAAAAUAGAGUUAGAUCCUCUGCUGAAGGUGCUUCAGUAAACUUAUCUUUACCCUUGGUUCCAUAUGUCUCCACAUAGCACCAAUCAGGGAUAUCAGUAGUACCAACCAUCAGUGCAAGGUUACACACAGGAUUUCUAGCAGCGGCUGCAACAAAUUUCUCAGGUGCCUACAGCAAUCAGAAAGACAUAAAAAACAAAACCACAACGGAAUUGUAAAACUUUAAAAAAAACAAAGUCAGACCACUAUUAAAAUGGAUAUUAGUUUUGCAAACUGAGUUAAAUGCCAACAUUUAUACAUACACCUUUCUAUAUAAUAUUCGAAGUGCUUUUUUUAUAUUAUCCAAUUAUGUGUACAUUAUAAAAAUUAUUUGCUAAGUUAUUUUCUGCCAUUGAUAAGUUAUUUCUAAUCCAAUUAUGUUCCAUUCUGUUAAUAUAGUACAGUUGAUGUAUUGUUCAGCAAACAUUUCAAAACCACAUAUCCCGGAUUUGUUGAAAAUGUUCAAGAAAUUCUGGACAUCAAUAGAUGUCAGGGUUCAAAUGGCCUUAUUUCCCAUGUGCAUCUAUAUAAUCACAACUGUUAGACAUGGUUUGAUUAUGUUAGAGAUAUGAUUUGAUAAUAUUAUAUAGGGAGGUAUCAUGAUUUGAUAGGAAAAUGUUAUCAAAUACUUUUUAUAAUUAGAUAUUGAUUUUGCUCCUAAUUAAGAUAAAAGAGAGUGAGAGAGGCAUAGGCUGAAUCCCUUAUGUGUAUUAAGCACAUAGGGUUAUGCAUUUAUAAAUAAGAAAAUACAAAGAUAUGAGCCUAAGCCCAUUACAUCUAACACUCAUUAUUUAUUGUAUCUCUUUUUUAUUAUAAAUAAGAACAAUCAUAAAUAAGAAGAAUCGUGUGUUUAAACAGCAUACAAUAUGGUUUGAUAACAAUAAAUUGGGAGAUAUGAUAUAAUUUAUUAGGAAAUGUCUUACCUAAUAUAUCUCAUUAUUAGAUAUUGAAUUUGUUCUUUAUUAUUGUAUCUCUUCUUCAUUAUAAAUAAGAAUACUCAUGUGUGUACACAACACACGAAACUCAUAGCAUACCUUCUGAGUUUCUCUCCUCUCAAUAUGGUGUUACCUAUUUUGUCACCAAUCCUUUCAACAACAACUAUUAUGCUGAAGUUGUUGUAAUAAUGUCAAUCAAUGCUAAAAUAGAUAAGCAUCCCAAGUACCAUAAAUUAAUUGACUGUUCAAUCUCCAGCAUAAAUAAAUUUGUGCUAUAUCCUUUUUAAAGUUAAUAUAAAUCCAUGGUUCAAUUAUCACAAUAGCUGUUACAAUCAGAAUUUAAAAGUAACAGAACUAGUUGAACCUGGCCAAUCAAGUGGGUUGUCAGAAAGCCACCAUGUGAGCCACCAAGAACUGCAAUCUUUGAAGGACUGGCGAGUCCCAAGUCAAUGACAUGAUCAAUAGCAGUGAGCACAUCGUUGACAUCCUGCAUGUAACAAAUCAUGAUCAGAUCCAACAACAUGAAAAAAGAAAUAUAGCCAGAAUAUGAUAAUAGCUUUGGAAGUUGGAACUAGCUUUUGAAGGUGAGAUGUUGGAUAGAUAACACCACUAUCAAGAGAAGAAUUUAGAAAUUAAAAGAAAAAACCACCACAUACCUGAGAGCCAGCUUUUCCUGGAAGAGAUUGCAAGGCUUCCUCGCCAAAGCCUAUUGAGCCUCUGAAAAUAUUAUCGUGUAAGCUUAGAACAGACUAUAUUUAAACACAUCUUCAUCUAUAACUAUUUGGAUAUCAAAAGAGGCCUUAUGAGCUGUGAGAUGAUACAGGCUAUCACAUAAAAGUUCCACCAAUAUUAUUCCGUUUUACAUUAAAACACUUAGAAUAUAUGAUACAACAAACUUAUUGUUAAAAUAUUGGGGUUAAUGUUAAUGCUAGACUUAUUCUAAGCAAAAUUGGGCUUACACAAGUACCAAACCACAAAAUUAGUAUAAAUAGGAGAAAUAGCAUAGGAUACUAAAUAAUACCAUCAAUUAUUAAUCAUUUCUAUCUAUUAUUUAUUUUAUCCACUCAAACUUACCAAACCACAAAAUUAGCAUAAAUAGGAGAAAAAUGAUAGGAUAAAUAAUAUCAUUAUUCAUUAACCUAAUCCUAUUAUUUAUCAUUUCCAUCAAUUAUCUAUUUUAUCUACUAAACCUAUAAUAUAACACUAUAAACAUAUUAUUGAGGAGGAUAUGAUGCUAAACAGGUUUAUGCUAUAAUAAGUUAUCUAUUGCACAUAAAAUUAAAUGUUGAAUAUAUUACAACCUUGGGGAAGGCUUGAAUUAUUCUGUGCAUUCUAUAAGUAAAAGAUACAUACCAGAGAACUUUCGUGCCUUGAAAUGAGAUUUUUAAUAGAGAUUAGAAGUUUAUAUUAUAAACUAACAGUUCACUUGAAACUAGAAUGAUUUGAAUGGAAGAUAUUGGAGUAAUUUUAUUUAUAAUCUUGUGGGCAGAUGGCUUUUCCACACAAACCAGAAAUUUGGCAGCUUUGAAUUUCUAAAGUCCUACAAGAAUCAUCCAGAUAUGAAUUUAUAUGCUUGUUCAAAAUAUUAGGCUAUUUUUUCAUAAGGAGAAAAAGAGAGAAUCAGAUAAAAUAGUUAAGGAUUUUUCUGACGCGUGAAAAGUGUAAGCCUCCUUAACCGAAGUAUUUUGUCAAGGAUCCUAGAUCUCUCUUGCCUCUUUUUGUCAAUUUCAUUCUGCAUUUAUUUUCUCUCAUUCUAUGUAUUCCUUGUUAUUCCAAAUAAUUACUAUGUUUCAAUUCAAAUAAUUCCAAAUCAUAAGAAAGAUGGAGGUUUGGCUCUUGGUAAUUUGAUGUUGUCAAAGAACAUUGCUCUGGAAAACAAAUGACAAUAGAUAUUUCCUUCGGAACCUCAUUAACUGAAAUGAUAGGAAAUUUAGUUUCACUUUUGGUCUCCAUCACUCUAUUCUUCUGCCCCAAGGCCCAACCAAAAAGAUUUGAUUUCUUGAUCCUUUUGUGGCUUAUGAUGCAAAUAUUUUUUCAAAUUUCAAACUUUCUGAAUAAAGCUAGCUUUAUCUUGAUAAACCACUUUAAAAGUUCAAAGCUCCCUCUAAAUUCAGGAAGUGAACUAUAUAGCUCAUAAUAGAAUUACUACUUAUAACUAAUGACAUGGUGCAGCAUUUUAGACCUAGUAAGGCUGUUUCUUUCAUGUGUGGUUCAAGCUCAAAAUUACCAAGUCUCCUAGCACUGAUCAGAAAGAGCAUCACAGUGAGAAUAAGAAUCCAUCUCCUGAAGAAACUCUACGUAAACAAUCAACAGGAACAUGAUUGAACACAUCAAAUUUGUGAAUUUAAAUUGUAUGGCUUGAUAAAAUGCUUGGAACCAAAGAGGAUAUUAUUUACCUGUAGUUAACAAUUAACAAGCUAUAUCCAACUGAGGCAAGAUAAGCCAAUGGCUUCGAAAAGCUUGACAAUAAUACAGAAUGUGGUCCCCCAUGAAGGACCACAAUUAGUGGAUCACAUGCAUCACUUUUCUUAGUUUUUGAUGACACAAAUAUAGCUUCAAAAGGUUGACUAGCACCUGAAAUUGAAGUUGACAUAACAAAAAAGAAAAUAAAUUCCUCAAAAGAAAUUUGAGUAUAACCUUACAUUGUGAAUAAAAUGCCUUCGACUUUUCAGAUUUAUUUAUUUUAACUCAACUCUGCAAUCAGUUUUAUAACUUUAGGGAUGAUCAAGAUCAUCUAAACCAUCAAAUGACUUCAAUAUGACACAGCAAAGAACUAUCAAUUAUAUGUUGCUACUGUUUAUCCAUGACAUUUCAGCCACACUUAACCCUUCUAGUACUAUUCAUAAAGGAAAAGACUAUAAGUUCUACUCAAGUUUCUCCAUCUUCAUUUUCAAUUGUUCCCCACUACAAUUUAGCUUUUCUAAAUUUCACAGCACCUUUAUACAGGUUCUAUUUAGAGCUUAACAUUGUCUCCAUUAUCAUCUUCAUGAACCAAUUGGAAACUUUUUCUUUACUUUUUAUAAGGGUAAGUAAGAAUGCAGAGAAGAAUGAAUAACAUUUUUCAUAUACCAUACUACACAACAUUAGAUGUCCAAUAAAAUUAUUUGGAAGGGUUUCUUCUUCCUUGAGUGUUCAAUUGGUUAUGUUGCAGAUACCAUGAACCACAUUAUACCACGAGAUGUUUACUUUAGCCAUUUGUGGUAAGAUUAAGAGCUAUAUUAAGGCAAACCCGUGCCAUUUAAUCAGCGAAAAGACUCCGAAUAAGGCAGAUACCUUUUGUUAAGCUUUCAGAAACAUCCUUGACUGGGAUCUUCAUUAUACUGGAUGUAAGAGAGGAGAUCGAGGAUCUAACCUGUAGCCAAUUUCCAAUGAUACAAUUUGAGCAUGUAACACUUUCUUAAUUAAUUUGUAGUAAUAUUUGAAAAGGAAACUUAACAAAACCUUGUCCGAGCACUUAAAUAUGGGAUUUGAGACAUCUGACCAACUCCAUUCUUCAUUAUUAGUUGUAUUUUUAACAAUAGCUCCGUACUUGAUUUGAGGAACAUCUACUGGACUGCUAGAAACUGUAUGAAGUUGAACAAUUUAGAAUAAACUAACACGUGUCAUCACUCCAAUAUUUAGGGUCAAAGAAAAAUUAAGCAUCUAAUGGUUAGUACCAGCAAGAAUAUUGUUCCCAUCCAAUGUAAGCAGACUCCAAGAGAAAUUCGAGUUAGCAGGGGUGAUCCGCAAUAUUUCUCCACUAUAUUUGAUGAAAAUGUAGAAAGUUGAUCGUCAUGAUUUGCAUAAAGAUUUACAUGAACAUAACAAAAAUGUAUCCCCACUGUCAUAGGUACCUCAACACAUUGAUGGAAAGUAAAACUUGAUUGCUGUGCCAUACAGAAGCUACAACCAAACUGUGGCCAUCGGAAAGCCAUGGAUCACUGAGGAUAUUUGAACAGUAAAGCCCUGGGAAGCUGCCAUCCUCCGCAAACAACACAACUGGAAUCUUGAAAAUUUGAAACAAAGGCCAAAAUAUUUAGCAUAAGUUUGGGAGACAAGAAGACAUUACCAUGAAGCAAUAAAAAACAAAAUGAAUAUUUCCACAUUUAUUUUGAAAAUGUUUUGGAAAAUAUAAAAAUGAGUUCACAGGUUACGUCUGGGUGUUGCCUCAGACAACUAGUAUUUGGUUUUUAAAACAUUGCUAACAGCAAGAACUCCUCAGUACGAACAGCCUCAUGAUUCAUGAUAUUGAUACUAGACAUGACGCUAGCCAUCCAUUCAUUAUCUUCUAUGGAAAUUGAAGCUAGAAUUCAGAAACGAUAACAAGGAAAACUAAGUUACUGUGCUUAACAUGCUAACCACAGAGAACCAAUUGGAAAAUUCCUGUUUUUUCAGUAAACAAAUUCUGAAAUAAAUUGUAUAGAUUUUCAACUAGAAGACAGCCUCAUUCACCCAUUAUAGAAAAAGCUUUAACAAAUUAUUUCAUGUAAAACCAUAAACACAUGGUUAAAAUUUAUAUUUUCCAAAGCUAGUUCUUAAGCAUAGGAUAGUUGAGAAGUUCAUACUCUUUAAUAAAAUGAAUAAAUAAAAGAGAAGCAACAGAAAUAAAUCUCCAUGACAUCCAUUCAGAUUAAAGUUAAACUAGACAAAAAAGGAAAAAAAAAAUUACCACUUCAUGAAUUUUAGAAGAUUGAUAAAGCUUCAUAUCCUUAGGCCAAUCAAUUCUAUGAAGUGAAUUUGUAGCAGAAUGGGCGCCAGAAUCAACUGAACUUCUUGCAGAUACAAAUACAAGAAACUUUCCAUCUGGGCUGGUAGAAAAUUUAUUCAUAGGAAUCAAGAUCAUAGAAAUCAGAUUCACACACUUAUUACUGAUAAGUUUUGCUUAAAUUUUGGAGAAAAAAAAAACACAAAUGCAUGUGACUAAAAAAGACAAGUGAUAAUGUGUAAGAUUUUAGGAGGUAACUAAACUUUCAGGAGGAAGUUUGAAAUGAUUUGGGCAGCUUUUAAUCAGCAGAAUUUCUCACACGUCUUACAAGGAGACACUGAUAAUGUAAUGUAAGUUUCAAGGAAUAUAUGCCACAAAGAUUACUUUCAUAUUCUCCAAAUAGUGGCAGUUGGCACAGAAGUCUAGGGAAAAUAAGGAGCAAAAGAUUACUUUUAUAGAAGUAAUCUUGCUAGGAAAAACAGUUAAUAAUGGAGAAUCUAAUGUAUGUUUCAAGGAAUAUAUGCCUCAAAGAUUACUUUCAUAUUCUCUAAAUACGGGCAGUUGACACACAUUAAAUUCACAUACUUGUUACUGAUAAACUCAUUGCAUAAAUUUUAAAAUAAAAGAGAAAUAUGAAUGAACUACUUCCAUAUACUAAAACAGAUAAGUGAUAACAUGUUCCAUUUUAGAAUGUAACUAAUUUUCAGGAGAAUGUUUGGAAUGAUUUUGGACAGCUUUUAAUCAGAGCAUAGUUUCUCACACAUCUUACUUGGAAAAACUGAUAAUGUAAUGAAAGUAUCAAGGAAUAUAGGCCUUAAAGAUUAAUUUCAUCAUAUUUUACAAAAUAUGUUAUUUACACACCAAAAACUGGAAAACUAAAAAUUCUACCCUUUUGUGGGGCUGGGGUGUGGGACUUUGUUUCAGCAUAUGAAAUAAAUAGAAUAAAAGCAAAAUGAUUUUGGCUAUUACCUGAACCGUGGAUAGAAAGCACUACUAAUGGUUUGAGUUAGGUUAACAGCCUGAACAUCUUCAGUUGAGCUACAUCAGUCAAUACACCUUCAAACUUUAGUUCUGCACAACCAAACUUAAUAAAAAGAUAUUCACUUUCAAACUUACUAAGUCUCAGUUUCAUUUGCUUUUGACUCAUAGUGUGGUGCUUUAACAGCAUAUAAUGCACAUGGCCUGUUAUAGCAGUACUUAAUACCAAGUUUUCUUGUCUCAAAUGACCAUCCAACAAAGACCAAAUAUUGCACAGAGCCUUCAAUUGUUGGAGCCCACACAACUUGUCCAAUACUCAAAGACUUGUCAAUUCCUUUGACGGCCUGUACCUCUCCACUGCAAAAUAACUGUUAUAGUUAGCAUUUCCUAUCUAAAAAGUUACAUCACUCAUUAUCAAUUAAACAUAAAACCAUAUAUUAUACAAAACCUAGUGAUGUCGAUGACAAAAAGGGCAGGCUGCCUCUUCCCUGCAUACGUCUCUCCCCACUCCUCCUCCCAUUCCCCUUGAGCUUUCCAGGUACCACAGUCCUUGUCUGAAGAACCACUUUUCUGGUAGCCACCCAGAUCAUUGAAUGUGGGCUUUGCAGGAGCUGGCUCUUCAGCUACAUACGCUAUACAAGUUUCAUUUAAAUUCCAAGAGAUCCCCUCAAACCUACAAUAACACAAAACAGUAAUCCAGCUCAUAAAUUUUAGGUGGUAACAGAGUUUUGUGCAGAAGUUUGAUUUGGCGUAUUUUGAAUAAAUAAUUACUCAUUUUACACGUCUUCCUUAUAAAAAAACUAAGCAAUUAUUUCUCAAGAAAUAAACUAUUCCAAACAAGGAUGUCAGUUUAAUAUUACUAUUUAGCACUACUUUCUCACUCUACUUGUCACCUAUUUCCAUUCAUAAAUUAAAAUUAGUUUCUACAUAAAUUAAAAUUAGUUUGUAAGUUAAUUGUAGAAACUUUAUGAGUAAAAGAUUUAUUCGAACAGGCAAAAGAGCAACAAUAAGUUUACCAUCCAUCAGUGUACACAGAACCGUGCUUGGAUUGAGGAACAUGAAACUCCUUUUCCAGUUGAGAGGAGCUCCAAAUUUCAAAGCGGCAAGGACCUUCACUCUCGGGAUUCCGAACAAUGAGCAGCUUGGAGGCAGAAGGCGACGGAAGCAUGGCGGAGACUCCGCUGAAUUCGAUCGGAAAGGGAGUCCAGUGAAAGGCAACGGUGGCGUCGGUUUGUCUGAGCAGGGAAGCGGAGACGAUGGACUUCUUCCUCUUGUUGGUGAGAAGGUUGGGUUGACUAACGCAGAACAUUGCCUGCGAAGGCAUGUGGAUGGUGUGGGAGUUGAAGAGCCAUGCCUUGUCGAUGGUGGGGAUGGCGGUGAAUUGGUGGAGAUGGUCGGAGUGAGAGGCGUACUCUUCUUGCUCCUUGGCUUGGUGCUCGUCGUCCAUUGGUGGAACUGGUGAAAACGAAAAGCGUCUUCUGCUGCAGAUUGAAGCAAAUAGAAUGAAUGCAUGAUGAAUGAAGGAAUGAAGGAAUGAAUGAAUGAUAACGAAAUGAAUGAUUAUUACGCAGUGAGUUGCAGUGAUGAGCGUGAACAGUGAAGAAUUGGAUUAGGAAUAGGAAUAGGAAGUUGAAUCGGGAGAAAUAAAUAAUUGGGUGAUGCUGCUACUCUUCCACACCAAUUACCCACGCUGCUCCUGCUACCAAACAUCUUGCUCUCCAUUUAUUUUUAAAAUAUCUUAUAUUUAUUAUAUAAAUUUCCUUUUAUAAAAAUACAAGAAUUUAAAAUAAUAACAAACUAUUAACUAUAUAAUACAGAUAUAUAUAGACUUAUAAUUUCUAAAAUAUAAGAAAUACAUUAAUUUAUAUAUUAUGUAACUAUAAAUUAUAUAAAUUAUAUAAAUUAAUAAUAAACAUUAAUGUAUAUAAAAUAUAUGUUUCAGAUUUUUUUAUAGAAAAUGUUUAAUAAAAUUGAAUUUUAAAAAAUUAAUGUAUUUUUUUUUAAAUUGCAUUAAAACCGUAAUAAAAUUGUCAAAAAUUUAACAAAUAUUUUUUGAAUUAGACACUUCACCAACACGAUGAAUAUUAUAGAAGUGUAGAUGACAUGUAUUCGAUAGAGAAACACCAUUUAAAUGAGGAGUGUCCAAACUUUAUAUAUAUAUAUAUAUAUAUAUAUAUAUAUAAAACAAAUAAUAUGUAUAAUAGAUAUGAGAAUUUAGCAUUGUAUUGUAUACCUUGUUCAUUAUGUUGAAAUGAUCUUGACAGGAAAAGAGUUGAGUUUGUAACAAAUUUAACAAAAUAUUUACCAAUAAAAAGCAAAUAAUAUAUAACAAACAAUCAAAAGGCAAAUAGUAUAUAAGAAAUAAUAAAUAAUUGUAUAUGAAGGUUACAUUUUGUGUUUAGGCAUAUUUACUAACUCUCUGAUGUAAUUUAUUUUUUAUAUUAGUCUCUCUCUCACACCCAGUUAUUUUUAUAGAAAGGUGAACUGAUAAAAGUUAUAGGAAAUUACAAAAUUUAUAUUAUAUACAUGAUAAGACAUGACUAACUAAUUUUACAUUGAGAAACUCAAUCGUAGUUUGAAUAUAAAAAAAAAUUGAAUUAAUUCAUUCCAUUAUAUUACAAAUUAUAUUUUAGCUUGUGAGUGUAUUAUAAAUUGAAUUGGGCUAAAAUGAUGGAUGAACUUGAUUAUGGACCAAGAAGUCACAAUUUCUUUUUCUUUCCCAAAUAUUAUGUUUUCUUUCAUUACCAAAUAGGAAGGAAAACAAGCAAAAUUAGUAAAAUAAAAUAAAAAGUUAAACAAGCAAAAAUGAGGGAUGAACUUGAUUACGAAGCAAGAAGUCACAAUUUAUUUUUCUUUUUCUUAACCAAAUAUUAAGUUUUUUUUUCAUUGCACAAAGGAUGCUAGUGAAAAAUAGGAAGGAAAACAAGCAAAAUUAGUAAAAUAAAAUGUUAAACACCACCAUUUCCAACACGUUUCGAGUAGAAGGUAACAGAUAGACUGGUCUUUCAUUUUGACAAUAUAACAAAUAGUUGGUGUCUCUUCUAAUCCUUUGAUUCUUGUGAUUCACUUGCCCCGUAUUUACAGUACUUGUUGAACCUCAGAGGAAAAGUUAGGGUGGAAGGUUGAUUCCAAAAGAAGAGAGAAAUUUCUUAUGUUUGUCACAGAAAAAGAUGGAAAUCAUAGUAUCCAUCAAGAUUAGACAAGACCUGAAGAUUCCUAGAUAGCAUAUUACCUAGUCAGUAUAUUCAUAUCUUCAGGGGAAGUAUUAAGAACCAAGAAGACGCACCCAAAGAUAAGCCAAGAACAAGUACUGAAUAACCUUUGUAUUAUUGCUACUACACUUUACAUCCACUAAAGAAACGAUUAUUGCUUUUACACAGGACUUCCCCUGUCUACAAAACUGUAUUAAAGUAAAUUGAGCCUCUAAUGGAUAGUACCAGCAAGAAUAUUGUUCCCAUUCAAUGUAAGGAGACUCCAGGAGAAAUUUGAGUUAGCAGGGGUGAUCCUCAAUAUUUCUCAACUACAUUUGAUGAAAAUGUAGAAAGUUGAUCGUCAUGAUUUUGCAUAAAGAUUUACAUGAACAUGACAAAAAUAUCCCUACUGUCAUAUCUACUCAACACAUUGAUGGAAAGUAAAACUUGAUUGCCAUGCCAAACAGUGGCCAUCGGAAAGCCAUGGAUCACUGAGCAUAUUUGAAAAGUAAAGCCCUGGGAAGCUUCCAUCCUCCGCAAACAACACAACUGGAAUCUUGAAAAUUUGAAACAAAGGCCAAAUAAAUAACGUAACAUGAAAACAAAAUCCAUUAACAGGUAAUUAAGGAUAAAUAAAUAAACCACUCACAAAUUCACACUGUGAUAACCCUUCUAAUUCAAAGAAACCGUUUUUAUAAAACGACAUGUAGUCAUUUCGCCAAAUUGUGGGACUCAUGGUCAUUUCUUUGAUCACACUCUAUAACAAACAAUAAGUAUUGUUAACACCAACUUCAUCAAAAAAACAAACAACAAUAAAUACACAGUUGACUUACCGCAAAGAAAGAAUUAAAGCAAAAGCGAUCAACCCCUCUAGUUCUAUGAUAUUCAUCAAACAUGAAAAAACCAAAUGCAAAUAACAUAACCUAAAAAUACAUUGCAAGUAUUUCAAUUUACAAACUAUAAUUCAAUACAAAUCAAAUGUUAUACAAAGAAAUGUUAACUUUUGACCUGGGACUUAAUGAAUGCAAGUCAGCCCCAGCCAAUCAAGUUUUUUAUAUCAACAACACUGCAACAGUACAAAAAAUAAAUAUUCAAAGUAAUUGACUUAAAUAAGUUAAUUAAGUAAUGAUAAGUAUCACUAGUUCACUAUAUAUUCACUUACCGAUUUAAGUGCAGUCCCUGCAAUGAACACAUUAUUGUAUAUAUCUUCAUUCCACCAAGGGGUAUGUCUUCAGCAACAAUGGCUUUGUCUUCAAUACGAGGACUAGGUUGGUCUUCAGCAGGAGGAAGUACUACUGACCAAUGAUUUACUUUGUACACUUGUUCUUGCAAAAUUCUAAUUUCCCUCUACAAAUCACAUAGCCUUUUGCUUUUGGGAAACUUCAUGUUAUUGAAGAAUUGUUUCCCAUUCACUGAAAAAAUGGUCAAUACAUUCAUGUGAAACAACACAUACGACUUCAAUAACAAUGUCCAGCCCAGUCAAAGGCUAUUCCCACGAAAUAAAAAAUUAUGAUAAACAAAUUAAGGCAAAAAUAUCAACCACAAAGUUAACAAUAUAAUCUACCUCAACUAAUAAAAAAACAUCAUGUAUCUUUCUUGACUGAAAGUUUACGCAUGACCAUUGCAAAAAUCAUGAAAAAACGAGAAUUAUUUCCCGCUUUGCCAAGUCCAACUGCCCACAACUGUUGCACAAAAACAUUAGUGAAUAAAAACCUUCUUUUUAAGACUAUGAACAUUACAUUAUAUCACCCAUUAUCGUGAAUUUUGAACAUACUUGCAAUACAGCAAGACAACCAACUAAGUAUAUCUCACACGCAUUCUUUUGUUGGUAGUAUACUUUGAAAGCCCGAGUUAUACUAGAAACAACUACAAAAAUCAUCAACAUUUUCACUCAACCUAAAUUUUUCAUCAGUCAUUUUCUUUAUAAUACUACGUACAUUAAUCUCCUCUCCAUCAAACAACUCAUUCACCAACCCCUUCUGUAUCAUCCUCUAAAUUUACAAUUUCCCUCCAACACGCAAUCUCAAUCUCAAUCCCACAAAAAUAUCCAUUAAAGGAACUAAUUUUUUCCUAAACAUAAAACUUUGCUUACUUCCAUUCUACCUACUUAAAAAUUUCUUAGAAUGGUAGUUGAUAUUUACAUUAUGUGUUUUACUUUGCAAUACACUUAAAAGGGACAUGUGGUAUACUUUCUUUUUGAAAAGAAGUCAACCUACGGUCCACUUUCACAAUGUACUCCGUUUGCAUUGUGUGUUUCACUCUAACCUAGAAAUUCAAGUCACACUAUAUUUAAUGUAUUUCAGAAAUAUAAAAUUUAUUAACAACCUUACAAUAUAAUUCAUCUUACAUUGAAGUUAUUUUCUUCACCAUCACUCUGUCUUGAACUUGAAGUCAUGUUGCAAACAAUAAGAAAACAUAACUUCAAGUUCAAUACAGAGUGAUGGUGAAGUAAAGAACUUCAAUGUAAAAUUGAUUAUAUUGUAAGGUUGUUAAUAAAUUUUUUAUCUCUGAAAUGCAUUAAACAUUAACUAUAGUGUAAUUUGAAUUUCUAGGUUAAAGUGAGACACACAAUGCAAAGGGAGUACAAUGCAAACGGAGUACAUUGUGUUCUAUUCAACGAGAAAUGAUACAACAGACUCCUUUUAAGUGGAUUGCAAAGUAAAACACAUAAUGCAAAUAUCAACUACCGUUUUAAGAGAACUUCUAAGUAGCUAGAAUGGGAGUAAGUAAAGUUUUAUGUUUAGGAAAAAAUCAAUUCCUUUAUCACUUAUGGAUAUCUGUGUGGGAUUAGGAUUGCGUGUUUGGGGGAAGUUGUAAAUUUAAAGGAUGAUACAAAAGGGUUGGUAAAUGAGUUGUUUGACAGAGAGGAGAUUAAUAUACGUAGUAUUAUGAAGAAAAUGACUGAUGAAUAACUUAGGCUAAGAGAAAAUGUUAAUGAUUUUUUUAGGUUAUACAUUUGCUUUCAUUUGUUGUUUUCUAUUUUCCUAAAGAGUUAUAAGAAUUUUUGUAUGCUUUCCUUUUAGACUUUUAGACAAUUUAGAUGCACUCCACAUGCACUAUUGGAGGUGCAGUUCAUCAGUUGUUUCCAGUAUAACUCGAACUUCCAAAAUAUAUUACCAACAAAGGAAUUUGUAUGAGUUAUACUUAGUUGGUUGUGUUGCUGUAUUGCAGGUAUGUUCAAAAUUCACGACAAUGGACGAUAUAAUGUAAUAUUCAUAGUCAUAAAACGAAGGUUUUUAUUCACUAAUGUUUUUGUGCAACAACUGUGGACAAUUGAACAUGUUGGACUUGGCAAAACGGAAAAUAAUUCUCAUUUUUCACGAUUUUUGCAAUGGUCGUGCGUAAACCUUCGGUCAAGAAAAAGAUACAUACAUGAUAUUUUAUUUUAGUUGAAGUAGAUUAUAUUGUUAACUUUGUGAUUGAUAGUUUUGCUUUAUUUUGUUUAUCAUAAUAAAUAAUUUUGUAUUUCAAAUUUUGUGGGAAUAGCCCUUACUGAAGAAGAACGAAGGUCGAACAUUGUUAUUAAAGCCGUACAUGUUUGUUCACAUGAAAAACAUGGAUGUACUGACCCUUCUUUCUUUCAGUGAAUGAGAAACAAUUCUUCAACAACAUGAAGUUUGUCAAAAGCAAAAUAUAGCCACUUACAAGAGGCUAUGUGAUCUGCAGAAGGAAAUUAGAAUUCUGCAAGAACAAGUGCACAAAGUAAAUCAUUGGUUAGUAGUACUUCCUCCCACUAAAGACCAACCGAGUCCUCGUGUUGAAGACAAAGUCAGUGCUGCUGAAGACUUUAGUUUCCUAGUACCUCAAGCCCUGGUAGGGUUUAUGGUUAAGUGUUUAGGGUUUUACGAUUUAGGGGUCUUUAUGAUUUUAAAGGUUUUAAGAGUUUAAGGUAUAUUGUUUUUAGGGUUUAUGAUUUUUAGGGAUCUAAAGAUUUAGGAUUUUAAAACUGAAGUUGAGUUUAUAAAGCAGAACGAAUAGUUAAAGCAAAUUAGAUAUGAAAGUGAUCGUCUAUUGGGGCAAGUACAUGGAUUAACUGAAAAAGUAGUAUUGCACAAAUAAUAUUGAGAGAAAAUAUUUUCACAAUUGAAUAAGUUGGCGAUUAAAACAAAAGCUCUUGAGGUUUGUUGUUUUUUUUUUUAUAUUUUUGUUCUUUUAUUUCAUUAAUAGUGCACUUCUGUGCCAAGUGAAUUUAUGUUAUUGUGGGUUUUCUUUAUCUGUCAAACGAUCUUGUAGUCCUUAUAUAAUUCUCUUAUGCUCUUCAUACAUUUUUUUUUUAUAUGUUAGAAGAAGAAGUUGAUAGAUCAACAUUCUAACAGAUCAAGAACAGUGUAUGAAGAGCAGAAGAGAAUUAUACAAGGGUUACAUGAUCGUUUGGCAGAUAAAGAAACUUCACAGUAACAUAAAUUUACUUAACACAAGAGUACACUGUUAAUGAAAUAAAAAAACAAAAAUAUAAAAAAGUCAACAAAACAACAAACCUCAAGAGUUUUUACUUUAAUCACCAACUUACCCAAUGGUGGACAUAUUUUCUCCAAAUAUUCUCUGUACAAAACAAAAGCUCUUAAGGUUUGUUGUUUUGUUUUGUUCAUUUUUUUAUAUUUUUGUUCUUUUAUUUCAUUAAUAGUGCACCUCUGGGCCAAGUGAAUUUAUGUUAUUGUGAGUUUUUUUUAUCUGUCAAACGAUGUUGUAGCCUUGUAUAAUUCUCUUAUGCUCUUCCUACAUUGUUUUUUAUCUGUUGGAAGAAGAAGUUGAUAGAUCAACAUUCUAACAGAUCAAGAACAGUGUAUGAAGAGCAGAGAAUUAUAAAAGGGCUACAUGAUCGUUUGGCAGAUAAAGAAACUCCACAAUAACAUAAAUUCACUUGACACAAGAAUACACUUAAUAAAAUAAAAUAAAAACAAAAAUAUAAAAAAGUCAACAAACCUCAAGAGUUUUUACUUUAAUCGCCAACUGGACAUAUUUUCUCCCAAUAUUCUCUGUACAAAACAAAAGCGCUUGAGGUUUGUUGUUUUGUUUUGUUAAUUUUUUUAUAUUUUUGUUCUUUUAUUUCAUUAAUAGUGAAUUUAUGUUAUUGAGUUUUUUUAUCUGCCAAACAAUCUUGUAGCUCUUGUAUAAUUCUCUUAUGCUUUUCAUACAUUCUUUUUAUCUGUUGGAAGAAGAAGUUGAUAGAUCAACAUUCUAACCGAUCAAGAACAGUGUAGGAAGAACAGAAGAAAAUUAUAAAAGGGCUACAUGAUCUUUUGGCAGAUAAAGAAAUUCCACAAUAACAUAAAUUCACUUGACACAAGUUGACACAAGAAUACACUGUUAAUAAAAUAAAUAAAAAACAAAAAUAUAAAAAAGUCAACAAACCUCAAGAGUUUUUACUUUAAUCGCCAACUUACCCAAUUGCGGACAUAUUUUCUCCCAAUAUUAUCUGUACAAUGCUACUUUUUUUCUGUUAAUUCAUGUAUUUGUCUCAAUAGACAGUCACGUUCAUCUCCUAAUUUGUUUUAACUCUUCGAUCUGUUUUAUAAGCACAACAACUUCAGUUCUAAAACCCUAAAACCCUUAAAAACUCUAAAUCUUAAACCCUAAAUCCAUAACCCUUGAACCCUAAAAUCCCUAAAAAACCCUAAACCAAAAUCCCUUAAAACCUUAAACCCUAAAAAUCCCUAAACCCUAAAAACAAUAUACCAUAAAACCCCUAAAACUUAAACCACAUGAGUUUGAUGUGUUGAACCUCGUACGCCAUGUAUGAUGGCAUAGCCUUUUAAACCCUUAAACCAAUGUAUCCUAAAAACCCUAAAACCUAAACCAUAUGAGUUUGAUGUGUUUAAUGAGUUUGAUGUGUUGAAACUCGUACGCCAUGAAUGAUGGCAUAGCCUUUUCCCACUUUAUGCAUUUCCCUUGUCAUAAUAUUAUGACUCAUGCACUAUGAUACCGAUUCCACAAUUUAAAAUGAGUUAUAACAACUCACAAGUUUGUAUGAACACAGUACAAAUAUUAACCUAAUGAAAACUUAAACUAUCAAAAACACCUUACUAACAAAGUUUUAACUUAUUAAUAGAUUAUCAUAGAUAAUGUCCUUAGUGUAUACAAAAGUACGAGAACAUCUUGUUAUAUAUCCGUUUUUGUUGAAUAAGAUAGUUAAUAGUUUUAAACUAUAACCAUAUGCAAUAUAUGUACAUGUUCUUUCAAUAUAUCUGAAUUAAGAGAGGCAUCUUCGUUCUCAACAAAAGCAUAAUAGGUGGAGUCGAGAGUUUGUCCUUGAGGUCAUAUCUUCUUGUAGUGUCUAGUAUUCCAACAAUAUAUAUCAAUUUUCUUGUACUCAACUUGUGUCAACUUUUAAUCCACAACGUUUACAGCUUGGAUAUUAGUAAAAAAAAUCAGCUUUAGACAAAUCUUCAUUAGAUAGACUCUGAGAAUUGUGAUAAACAACCUCUAGAUGGAUCAUUUGGUGGAGAAAUUAACAUUUCAUAUCCUUAAGUUCCAUUUACACUUAGUUUACCGUCGUAGAAAUACAAAAAUAAUAACAAUGUAUAUAAAGACAUACCCAAAAUAUGGUUUCCAUCCGCCUAGGAGAGAGAAAAAAAAAAGUAAAGAGAGGCCCAAGAUGUUGUUCUUAAGUGGUAUACUAAUUUAAUUUUAAAGAAACAAGUUAUAAUAUUAUAAUAUCUAUUAAUAACAAAAAAAAUAUUAUAUAUAAUAUAUAUUAAUAUUAUAAUAUAUCAUAUUCUUUUUUAUAAAUAAUAAAAAAGAAUAUUAUAACUUUUGUUUAAAGUUGAACUAGUAUAUCACAUAAAAGCACACCUUCGGUCUCUUUUACUCUUUUAUCUCUUCUAGGCCGAUGGAAACAAUGCUUCGAGUCUCCAUAUACACCGUCAUCUUUGUAUUUGAACGAUGGGAAUUGAAGUGUGAAAUGAACGUAAGGAUGUGAAAUGUCAAUCUCUCCUCCAAAUGACUCAUCCAAAAGUUGUUUAUCACAAUUCUCACAACCUCUAUCGGAAGAAGAUUUGUUUAAAGUUGUUUUUUUUUUACUAAUAUCUACCAUAUAAAUGUUGAGGAACGAAGGUUGACACAAGUUGAGGAGAAAGAUAUUGAUAUGUAUCAUCGUGUGUAUAGUUGGAUAUUAGACACUAUGAGAAGAUAUUUAUGAAUGACUUACAAGCACGGCCUCAAGGACAAACUUUCGACACCGCCUAUUAUGACUUGAUUGAUUUUGUUGAAAACGGAGGUGUUCCUCUUAAUUUAAAUCGAACUUCAUCUAAAACACAUGUAUUUAUUAGUAUCAGUGUCAGCAGUACUUGGAAACCAAAGUCUUUUGUCCCACUAGGCUCUUGAUCAAAUUUUUUUGUUAUGAAAUUUAUUGUCUCAGUAGUAUUAUGGAAAAAUACAGGGAUCUGAAUGAUAAUAAUCUUCAAUAGUUGAAUUCACCAUAACAUCACUGGGACAAUAAAUUUUAAAACAGAAAAAAUUAAAUCUAAGAGCUACUGGCGGAAGGCUUUGGUUAAAUCUUAAUUUUUGAACUCUUAAUUUGAAUAAUUAGGGUUUUAUUAGUUAAAAGUUGGAAUGGACCAAAGGCCUAAACUUAAUUUAAGUAGAUUUUGAACUCUUAAUUAGGUUUAAUAGAUGAUGCGCACAUUCAAAUUUUAUUUGAAUAAUUAGGAUUUUAGGAUUUUAUAAGUUAAAAGUUGGAAUCGGCCAAAAACCCACACUUACUUUAAGUAGGUUUUGAACUCUUAAUUAGGUUUAAUAGUUGAUGCAGCCGCAGCUCAUUCAAAUUUCAUAUGAAUAAUUAGGAUUUUAUGGUUUUAUUAGUUAAAAGUUGGAAUGGGCCAAAGGUCCAAACUUAUUAGGGCUUUUUCAAAAUUAGGUUUAGGGUGUUUUAUCCUCUCCAAGCACCGUCGAUCCCUUCUUCAUUUUCCGCAGCCACGGUUACAGCGUUCGUUGUUCGUUGUUGCUGUUACCGUCAUUUUCUACGCCUUUAAUGAUAUUUCCAAUUUCCAUUAACAAUCCGAGAUGCCAAAAGCAGCCACCAUGGGAAAACCGUGUCACCACCACCUUCCGCCAUAACAGAAAAGUGAUAACAUUGCAAUGAGCUCAAUUCAAAAAGCUCGGUAGGCAUCGCUUAAUUCAAUGCUUGAUUAUCUCUGCAUCAAUUUUAUAUGAGGCUAAGUAUACUAUUUCAAUCAAGCUUAAUAUGGUCAACUUGAUUGAUAUAUAUAAUAUUUUUUAAUUUUUAACUUAUAAUAACUACAAAAUUGUAAUAAUAAUUAAAUUUAUACAAAUGUUUCCAAUAUAUGAUCUAGUAAAAUAAAUAAAAGCAAGUGCCCAAAUGAAAUUGCAUGGUUGUAUAAGAAAUACAAGCUACCAGCACAGCUAAAAAAUUGUGCAACUAGACAGGAUUAGGUAGUGUUGAUACAAACCAUUUGGGCUUUGCUAUCUUAUAACUUCUCCAUGUUUGAUUUUAAUUGGUUGACAACACUUGUCUAUAAAAACAUGGAAACAAAAAAUUGUAACUGCUUCAUAUCCUUACAAACAACUAUCUUACCACCAAAGUAAACAUGAUGCACCAAGUUAAAUUCAAAAUAAGGUAAGUGAUGCCAGCAUAACAAAGAUCAAAGUACUAAAAUAAUUAGUAAGAAACUAACCCGCUGACUAAAUGAACUACACCAGCCUAAUUAAGUUCCUUUAUACACCCACCCACAAUUGAAAACAUUUACACUGUUACUGCAACCCACAAUCACAGGCCAAUAUGUUCAGGUACGGUACAAGUAACCCAAAAGUCACUAACUUCAAUAAAAUCAUAACAAUGACUGCCUCCUAUUACUGGGAACCUAUUAUUCUUCAUAUUAAAUUAUUAAAAUUAAAUAGCUCAAUAUGAAAUAUCAUAAUAUGCUUAAUGGAAAAACACCUUAAGUUCAGAACCACUGAAGCAUGUUUUAUUACUAUAAUAACUAAUAGAGUUCUCAAUUACCACUAGUAUAGAUUUUAAGAGAAAAAUAGAUAAGAAAGCAACGUAUAAAAAUUAAAAACAGUGGCAAAGUUGAAUAUUCCUCAAAUUAUAUACUGCAAUACAUAGGCAAACAUGUUGAUUAUAAUUAUCAGUUAUGCUUUGUUUGUUUCCAGGUGAUUACUAUUCACAGGUGAUUAAUAUUCACAGGAUGGAUUUACAGGGAUCAUUUCUGUUUGGAUCUGGCAAUAUGCAAAGAAUGCGAAGCGAGCAAAGGUGAAGAAAUUGCAGAAAGGCUUCACUUAUUGGCUAAGAAUUGCGUAGAAACCCAACAGAAACUCAAUUUCAUAUAAGCAACUUACGCAAUUACCCUCUACUCUGUCAAUGUAAUUCAAUAAUUUUAUUAAAUAAUAAAAAAUUUAUUUGAAUUAAAUAUUUAAUAAUAGCAUUAAUAAAAAUAAUUAAUAAUAAAAAAAAAAUAUAAUUGUUUACAUAGAAAAUAAAUUUACAUAAUAAUAAUAUUAAUUAUAAAAAAGAUAGAAAUAAAUAAAUUAUUUUUUUUAUUCGAAUAUUUUAAAAGAUUGGGAUAAAUUUGUAAAUUUAUAUUUUAUAUCUUUUAAAAAAUUUAAAAAAAUCACAACUAUCACAUAAGUCUAAUAAUACACCAACAAAUUUGAGUAAAUUUUUCUCAUAAAUUCACUCUAAUAUACUCAAAUUCAAACAUCACUUUCUUCACACUCUCCUUUCAAAUCAUUUCAAAUUCACUAUCUCAAAUCCUCUCUUCAAUUCAAACACACCAUUAAAGUUGAAUUUUCAGUAGCUAGUGGUUCUGGUAACCCUCAUAGUAGUUAGAAUCGCAUAGCAAAGAAGAAUGAAGAAGAGUGAGGAAGCGGAUCGCAGCAGUUUGUUAUAAAAACCAUAGGCACAGCUUUUAAAAAUCCCUCGCCUUCCUCCUAAAAAUACCCUGGAAUUUUUUGUAGUGAUUUUAAUAGGAUAUCCAAUUUUAUUUCUCAAGUUAGAUUAUAUUUUUGUUUUUUAAUAAAUACAAUUUAGGAAAACUCAAACUAAUUGUUUAAUUUUGAUUUUAUUUACAUAUUCCUCAUAUUCUAAAUUAAUUUGAGAAAAUAAUUUAUCUAUUAUAUAGUGUUGAUUCACAAGCAAAUAUAUUCAAUCCAUGUAUUUUUUUGUUUUGUUCACUUCUAUAUAUUUUUGUUUUUUUAUGUUAGUGAGGACUUUCUUUAUAAGGUUUUAAUGGUUUUAAGGAUUUAGAGCCUAAAGUUUGUAGGGUUUUACGAUUUUAAGGGUUUAAAACUGAACCUAAGCUUAUAAAGCAUAACGAAGAGUUAAAACAUAUUAGAGAUGAAUGUGACCGUCUAUUGAGAGAAGUACAUGAAUUAACUUAAAAAGUAGCAUUGAACAGAGAAUAUCGGAAGAAAAUAUGUCCAGGAUAAGUUAGCGAUUAAAACAAAAACUCUUAAGGUUUAUUGUUUUGUUUUGUUCACAUUUUUGUUCUUUUAUUUCAUUAAUAGUACACUUUUUGUGUGAUGUUAUUGUAGGGUUUCAUUAUAGAAGAUUUGUCCAAGCAGUUAUUUGAUGAAAAAGAUAAGUUAAAGGUAAUGUCGUUGGUUUUUAUUCUUGGCAUGAAACAGUUACUUACCAUAUAAUUUUCUUGUGGUAUAAUUUAUUGUUCUUGACAACUAAAUCUGAAACAAUUUUAUUUUGAGGUCUAAUUGUAAAAACAAUAAAUUGCACAAGAAAAUUAUAUGGUAAGCAGUUGUUGCAUGCCAAGAAUAAAAAUCAAUUACGUUACCUUUAACUUCUCUUUUUCAGCAAAGAACUCCUUCUGCAGUAUAUGUAUUUGAUCCUUUUGAGAUGCACACGACUUCUAUAAAGAAACUCCACAAUAACAUAAAUCCACUUGGCACAUAAAUGCAUUAUUAAUGAAAUAAAUAACAAAAAUAUAUAGAACUGGCAAUGUUUCUUUUUAAGUUAAUUCAUGUACACGCCCCAAUAGACGGUCACAUUCAUCUCUAAUUUGUUUUAACUAUUUCUUCUGCUUUAUAAGAUCAGCUUCCGUUCUAAAACCCUAAAACCACUAAACUCUAAAUCAUAAAAUCCUAAUCCCUAAAUCCUAAAUCCUAAAAUACUCAAAGACUUGUCAAUUCCUUUCACGGCCUGUACCUCUCCACUGCAAAAUAACUGUUAUAGUUAGCAUUUCCUAUCUAAAAAGUUACAUCACUCAUUAUCAAUUUAACAUAAAACCAUAUAUUAUACAAAACCUAGUGAUGUGAGGCUGCCUCUUCCCUGCAUGCGUCUCUCCCCACUCCUCCUCCCAUUCCCCUUGAGCUUUCCAAGUACCACAGUCCUUGUCUGAAGAACCACCUUUCUGGUAUCGAAAUUUUGCAUCGGAUAAUAAAUCAUUGAAGAUCGCUAACCCUUGGCGACGAAGAAACGUAAAACGAAAAGAGAGUGAAACCUUGACGCCUUGGAGGAAGGCGCGGAGGCAGAGACAGAAGCAAUGGAAGAAGAAGCAACGUCAGAGUCGAGAGUGAUGAAGAGGAAGAGAGCGAGGGCGAAGAAUUCGAGAACCAUGACGAAGAGUAAUGCGAUGAACCAGUUCUGCUGCCAGAUCGGGAAAUCGAAUUACGGGUAAAAACAAUCCGGGUCGACCCGGAAGUUUGUUGCUGAGACGAUGACGAAGAAAAAGCCUUUCUUCGAGAGAGGUUCUCCGACCCUAAGGAAGCCACGGUUCAACCCUAUCAGAAGAGAGAGGAAAAGCGCAUUCACGUCUCUGUUGCAAUGUCCCAACACGCUUUCUGAAUACUCUCUGUUGCAAUGUUCCAACACGCUUUCUAAAUGCUCUCUGCUGUAAUUACUCUACACCCUCUCACCCAAUCUAAAUUCAACACGUGGCUCUUUGCGUGACGUUGAUGCUUAUUACUGAUUCAUAUUCUCUCCGCGGAUACACUCACGUAAUGUUUGGGCCUUUUCACAUUUGGCUUGCUUUUCGCACCACCUUUCUUUUGGGUGUUCACCCCUACAAUUUUCUUUCUACAUUCAACACGUGGCUCUUUGCAUGACGUGGAUGAUUAUUACUGAUUCAUAUUCUCUCCGCGGAUACACUCUGGUAAUGUUUGGGCCUUUUAACAUUUGGGUUGCUUUUCGCACCUCCUUUCUUUUGGGUGUUCACCCCUACAAUUUUCUUUCUACAUCUCUAUAUUCUUCAAAAUAUCCAAAUUAUCCUUAACAGUUUUGAGUUAUUUAAAAAUAUGAAUGUUUCUCCAAAAAUUAUAAAAUGUGUUUCAAAGACAUUCUAGAAAGAGUAAUUUAGAAAUUAUUUUUAAAAGGGGUAAAAUAGUAUUUUCAGAAAACAUGGGGUGGAGGAAGAAAUUUGUGGGGGUGCUGUAAGAAACACCUUUUUUUUCUUA
RNAcentral lists this long non-coding RNA (37861 nucleotides) under Phaseolus vulgaris (common bean). RNAcentral's name for it is "long non-coding RNA (PVUL_LNC002453)". The record is from RNAcentral. Lineage: Eukaryota; Viridiplantae; Streptophyta; Magnoliopsida; Fabales; Fabaceae.